Molecule: ribosomal RNA, 508 nt
Filed under: uncultured bacterium
Lineage: Bacteria
Description: bacterial SSU rRNA
Rfam family: Bacterial small subunit ribosomal RNA
Source: RNAcentral
GGAUGAACGCUGGCGGCGUGCCUAACACAUGCAAGUCGAACGGAGAUUAACGCUGAUGAGGCUUCGGCGGAUUCUUGUUAAAUCUUAGUGGCGGACGGGUGAGUAACGGCGUGGGCAACCUGCCUCAUACUGGGGGAUAGCAGUUGGAAACGACUGAUAAUACCGCAUAAGCGCACAGAGUCGCAUGACUCAGUGUGGAAAACUCCGGUGGUAUGAGAUGGGCCCGCGUCAGAUUAGCUAGUUGGUAAGGUAACGGCUUACCAAGGCGACGAUCUGUAGCCGGACUGAGAGGUCGGACGGCCACAUUGGGACUGAGACACGGCCCAAACUCCUACGGGAGGCAGCAGUGGGGGAUAUUGCACAAUGGAGGAAACUCUGAUGCAGCGACGCCGCGUGAAGUGAAGAAGUAUUUCGGUAUGUAAAGCUCUAUCAGCAGGGAAGAAAGACUCGCAAGAGAGAUGACGGUACCUGACUAAGAAGCCCCGGCUAACUACGUGCCAGCCGCCGC